UGCAAUCUACCUUUCACAGAGGGAUAGCCCAGAGAAAUUUGGAUUAAUACCUCAUAGUAUGCAGAGUUGGCAUCAACACUGCAUUAAAGUCACAACGGUGAAAGAUGAGCAUGCGUCCCAUUAGCUAGUUGGUAAGGUAACGGCUUACCAAGGCAACGAUGGGUAGGGGUCCUGAGAGGGAGAUCC
RNAcentral lists this ribosomal RNA (186 nucleotides) under uncultured Bacteroidota bacterium. RNAcentral's name for it is "uncultured Bacteroidetes bacterium partial 16S ribosomal RNA". It matches the Rfam family "Bacterial small subunit ribosomal RNA", at positions 120 to 306 of the family's 1533-position model. The record is from RNAcentral. Lineage: Bacteria; Pseudomonadati; Bacteroidota.